RNAcentral lists this ribosomal RNA (497 nucleotides) under uncultured bacterium. Its description in RNAcentral is "partial 16S ribosomal RNA". It matches the Rfam family "Bacterial small subunit ribosomal RNA", at positions 28 to 507 of the family's 1533-position model. The record is from RNAcentral.
GAUGAACGCUGGCGGCGUGCCUAAUACAUGCAAGUCGAGCGAACAGACGAGGAGCUUGCUCCUCUUACGUUAGCUGCGGACGGGUGAGUAACACGUGGAUAACCUACCUAUAAGACUGGGAUAACUUCGGGAAACCGGAGCUAAUACCGGAUAAUAUAUUUAACCGCAUGGUUCAAUAUUGAAAGACGGUUUUGCUGUCACUUAUAGAUGGAUCCGCGCCGCAUUAGCUAGUUGGUAAGGUAACGGCUUACCAAGGCAACGAUGCGUAGCCGACCUGAGAGGGUGAUCGGCCACACUGGAACUGAGACACGGUCCAGACUCCUACGGGAGGCAGCAGUAGGGAAUCUUCCGCAAUGGGCGAAAGCCUGACGGAGCAACGCCGCGGGAGUGAUGAAGGUCUUCGGAUCGUAAGACUCUGUUAUUAGGGAAGAACAAAUGUGUAAGUAACUAUGCACGUCGUGACGGUACCUAAUCAGAAAGCCACGGCUAACUACGUG